RNAcentral lists this ribosomal RNA (429 nucleotides) under Chloroflexota bacterium. RNAcentral's name for it is "Chloroflexi bacterium partial 16S ribosomal RNA". It matches the Rfam family "Bacterial small subunit ribosomal RNA", at positions 355 to 776 of the family's 1533-position model. Lineage: Bacteria; Bacillati; Chloroflexota. The record is from RNAcentral.
UAGGGAAUCUUCGGCAAUGGACGAAAGUCUGACCGAGCAACGCCGCGUGAGUGAAGAAGGUUUUCGGAUCGUAAAACUCUGUUGUUAGAGAAGAACAAGGACGUUAGUAACUGAACGUCCCCUGACGGUAUCUAACCAGAAAGCCACGGCUAACUACGUGCCAGCAGCCGCGGUAAUACGUAGGUGGCAAGCGUUGUCCGGAUUUAUUGGGCGUAAAGCGAGCGCAGGCGGUUUCUUAAGUCUGAUGUGAAAGCCCCCGGCUCAACCGGGGAGGGUCAUUGGAAACUGGGAGUCUUGAGUGCAGAAGAGGAGAGUGGAAUUCCAUGUGUAGCGGUGAAGUGCGUAGAUAUAUGGAGGAACACCAGUGGCGAAGGCGGCUCGCUGGUCUGUAACUGACGAUGAGGAUCGAAAGCGUGGGGAGCAAACAGG